RNAcentral lists this transfer RNA (82 nucleotides) under Chitinispirillales bacterium. RNAcentral describes it as "tRNA-Leu". It matches the Rfam family "tRNA". From Rfam's summary of the family: Transfer RNA (tRNA) molecules are approximately 80 nucleotides in length. Their secondary structure includes four short double-helical elements and three loops (D, anti-codon, and T loops). The record is from RNAcentral. Lineage: Bacteria; Pseudomonadati; Fibrobacterota; Chitinispirillia; Chitinispirillales.
GCGAAGGUGGCGGAACUGGCAGACGCACCAGACUUAGGAUCUGGCAGGGCGACCUAUGGGGGUUCGAUUCCCCCCCUUCGCA